Molecule: ribosomal RNA, 287 nt
Filed under: uncultured bacterium
Lineage: Bacteria
Description: partial 16S ribosomal RNA
Rfam family: Bacterial small subunit ribosomal RNA
Source: RNAcentral
GAGUACCUACGGGAGGCAGCAGUGGGGGAUAUUGCACAAUGGGGGGAACCCUGAUGCAGCGACGCCGCGUGGGCGAUGGAGUACUUCGGUAUGUAAAGCCCUCUCAGCAGGGAAGAAAAUGACGGUACCUGACUAAGAAGCCCCGGCUAAAUACGUGCCAGCAGCCGCGGUAAUACGUAUGGGGCAAGCGUUAUCCGGAUUUACUGGGUGUAAAGGGAGCGUAGGCGGCCUGGCAAUCCUGAUGUGAAAUACCGGGGCCCAACCCCGAGGCUGCAUUGGCAACUGCC